This 586-nucleotide ribosomal RNA is filed under the name uncultured Alphaproteobacteria bacterium. Its description in RNAcentral is "bacterial SSU rRNA". It matches the Rfam family "Bacterial small subunit ribosomal RNA", at positions 38 to 671 of the family's 1533-position model. Lineage: Bacteria; Pseudomonadati; Pseudomonadota; Alphaproteobacteria. The record is from RNAcentral.
GGCGGCAGGCCUAACACAUGCAAGUCGAGCGCCCAGCAAUGGGAGCGGCGGACGGGUGAGUAACGCGUGGGAAUUUUUCCUGGAGUACGGAACAACCGAGGGAAACUUCGGCUAAUACCGUAUGAUGCCGAGAGGCCAAAGAUUUAUCGCUCUGGGGUGAGCCCGCGUCAGAUUAGGUAGUUGGUGGGGUAAAGGCCUACCAAGCCUGCGAUCUGUAGCUGGUCUGAGAGGACGAUCAGCCACACUGGGACUGAGACACGGCCCAGACUCCUACGGGAGGCAGCAGUGGGGAAUCUUGCGCAAUGGGCGAAAGCCUGACGCAGCCAUGCCGCGUGAGUGAAGAAGGUCUUAGGAUUGUAAAGCUCUUUCGCUCGUGACGAUGAUGACGGUAACGAGAGAAGAAGCCCCGGCUAACUUCGUGCCAGCAGCCGCGGUAAUACGAAGGGGGCUAGCGUUGUUCGGAAUUACUGGGCGUAAAGCGCGCGUAGGCGGUUUUGCAAGCCAGANGUGAAAUGCCUGAGCUCAACUCAGGAAUGGCCUUUGGGACUGCGAGGCUUUGAGGACUGGAGAGGUGAGUGGAAUUCCC